This 340-nucleotide ribosomal RNA is filed under the name uncultured bacterium. RNAcentral describes it as "bacterial SSU rRNA". It matches the Rfam family "Bacterial small subunit ribosomal RNA", at positions 335 to 662 of the family's 1533-position model. The record is from RNAcentral.
ACUCCUACGGGAGGCAGCAGGUGGGGAAUAUUGCACGAAUCGGGGGAAGCCCAUGAUGCAGCCAUGCCGCGUGUGUGAAGAAGGCCUUCGGGUUGUAAAGCACUUUUCAGUAGGGAGGAAGGUAGUGUAGUUAACACCUGCAUUAUUUGACGUUACCUACAGAAGAAGCACCGGCUAACUCCGUGCCAGCAGCCGCGGUAAUACGGAGGGUGCGAGCGUUAAUCGGAAUUACUGGGCGUAAAGCGCAUGCAGGCGGCCUGUUAAGUCAGAUGUGAAAGCCCGGGGCUUAACCUCGGAAUUGCAUUUGAAACUGGCAGGCUAGAGUCUUGUAGAGGGGGUG